AACAGGUUGAGCUGUGUGGUGAUGAUAUAAGUCCUGUUAAGCAUCUCAGGCUGAGAGUAUCUACUGGUGUUCGAGAUGAGGAUGAAGCAUUGCUGCGCAACAUAGUUGAAAAGGCUGAGAAGUAUGGUAUAGCUCUAACUGUAGCAGCAUAUCUUUGUGAUCAAGAAGCCAAUCCUCCACCUCCAUCAAUAAGAGUAACUGCCAAUAAGGAUUUGACCAAGGAAGAAAUCAGUAAAGCUUUUAAAGCACUACAGCAAGCAAUUGAUGAUGUUAUAGAGUAACCUAAGGUAUGUCGUAUGGGCAAAGAUCCAUCAGUGCUUUUAGGACUGUUGGUGAUUUGCAGUUUAUACAUUUAAUGUAGUAAUUUCUGGGCAAUUUCAGCUAACGGUAUUUGCAAGGAUCUUCAGUGAUAGGACAUGACACCUGGUUACUCUUCUGAUACACAAAGCCUCAUUUUAAUGAGCAAGCUGUUGGCAUGUAAAGAAAGCUAACAUUACCUGUUGGUAAUUGAAGCGUAGAAUACUUUGUGCCUUUAAGGUUGCUUAAAAGAGAAGAUGGUUUUGUGAAGAAAUGUCUCUUAAAAAAUGCUGAAUUUCUGAGUAUUAUGCACUCCGCAACUUCUUAAGAGCGCCAUAGUGAGCGUAUGUAGUUACAGGGUAUCUAUUUUGGUAUUGAACAGUCCUGUUAAAGUUCUUCCCCAAAUUUUUCCAUUAAAGUUUCAUGAUAGAGUUUCAGAAGGUUUUAUAAAUUUUCUGUACUUUAUAAUGCCAAAGAAUGUGGAGAUAUUUAUAUUUUCUGAUGUCAGACUGAUCUGUUACAACUAAGGAUACAGUUGGAAGUAGCUGUGUAUUUCAGUAAUUUUAUUUCCCAGUUGAGGUUAUGUAGAACAUUUUAUUAUAAGUGUAAUAUGCAAGUAGUGUUUAGAAUGAUAAAAGCUCAUUGAAUAUGGAUGUGCCUUUUGUGAUAUAGUCAUAUUUUCUACUUCUAAUCAUGCAUCAACCAUUCCAGUGUGUAUCAGGAAUGGCCCGUAAAGACGCUUUUCAGUCAAGAAAAUUGGAUUCUCAAUUAAAUGGAGAGAUUAUAACUCUGUCUAUAUUCACUUGCAAAUUGUCAACUCUUUGGGUGUUUCCAUAGUCAGUGAAUGAGUGCUAUUAUGUAUAUUAUUUUUGAGGCAUGUUUCAUUUAUUGUAGCAUUGUAUUCCAUCCAUAGUCAAUCUUUACAGAUUAUUAUAUAUCCAGUCUUAUCAUUCCAUUAUUGUGCGCAUAAAGCAGGUUUCAUGGUUGUCUUGUUUUUGUCACAGACCUCUUGUACCUAAUGUAUUGUACCUAAUUUUCAUCACCCCUACAUAGUUAUAUUAUCCCUGUAUCAUUAUAUUCAAGUGGUCCAUCCAAUAUUUAUUUUUUCCAUCAGCUUCAUGUUGUUUCAAGUUACAGUAUGUGCCAUAUGUACUUCAAAAGUGUAUGGAUUUGCCCUUGCAAUCUUGAAUCCCUGUCUCCAAAGAAAACUGGCCUAUGGUGUACUGACAUUUGACUGCUGCUUUUAGAGUUUCAUUGGUAAUUAGAAUGCCAAAUAAGAAAAUGUACAUUUUUGUCAGGAACUCUUGGGUAAUUUAUGUAACAUACCAGUAUUAAUUAUAUAUCUUUAUAAAUCAUUUAGUGUAUGCAUAUCAGUAGUUAGAAUUGUUUGUAAUAUUCCCUCUUGACUUAUCAUGUAGAAUCUCUUAUUCAACACGUGCAAUAGUCAAUUCUUUACAAAUAUGCUUUGGCUAAACUACUUACAAUAAUAUUGUAUAGUCUUUUGCAGUCUGGAAGCUCAUUCAUUGCAUUGCAGUCAUUCAUUAUGUUAGGGUACACCAACUAUACAGUUAUUGAUGGUCUUUACUGGGAAAACAGGUUCAAUAGUACUCCUUGGGAAUGGUAUACUGUAUUUUGUUCAGUGUGCUUUUGCUUACAUUUGAAAGAGAUGCUGACACAAAAUACCAGGAGUACUUUAAUUUUUGUGUUGUGUUCUUACAGAGAUGAGGCUUCGAUGAGGCUUCAGUUGGGUAUUUUGUCAGCUUUUGGGUGAUUAAAUGCCUUCAUUAGAAUUGUAUCCAUUGAGUAGAAAAAUGGAAGUUGUCAUCCAAAACAUUAGAUUUUAUUGUAUCUUAAGAUUUAUCUUUAGGUUGACAGAUAUCUUCAAGCUUAUCUAAAGGACUAUUAAUAUUAUGAUUAAUAAGAUAUCUUACCUGGUAAUUAUUUUAAUUAACUGUUCAAGAUCUUUUGCAGUUUCAUUACUUUUAUGUAGACACUGUUUAUGUAUGGAUUGGUGAAGAGGGAUGUUUAUGUAGUGUUUACGUUGUUCGUGUGCAUGGGAUAUUUACCAGACCAAAGGAAGAAAGUUGUGUAUAAUACGCAUUCAACUUGUAAGUGUGGGGUGGUCAUGAUGUUUACUACUCCUAAAACGGAGUACUUUGAUAGGUCACAAAGUACAGUAUAUUCAAGACUUGAAAGGUGGUUGAAUUAUUUUUGUUACUCUCAUUGUAGCUUUUGUCAGCAGAAUUAAUUUUGAAGAAAAUUGUCCACUGGAAAUAUGGGUUUUCCAUUUGUUAAUGCAAUGUAUAGUAAACAUUUUUUUAUAUUGAAUUGUAAGUUUUUAGAAAUAAAAUAUGGGAUUUCUUUUUAGAAGUAAAUUAUGGGGCUUCUUGUUUUUGCAAAAAAAAAAAAAAAAUAUUUCUUGGUGUGGGACAUGAAAGUUAUUCUGGAAGGAGUGUGGUAAAAAAUUUAAUUGAAAUUUGGGAGUAAAAGAGUGAAGUUCUAAACCAGUGUUUUAACAGGAUUUCAUGGACAUGUUUGUUGAAUGAAAAACAAAAAGGAAUUAUGGAUUUGGCUAAUCGAUUAACUAAUUAAUGAUUAGGUUUUGGCACACAAGAUGUAAUUUGUCAGAUGGAUGACCAUUUUUAAUAAUGGAUUUUCUCUUUUCACAAUCUGGGAAAUAUGUAUACUAUAAGCAUGUGGCAGUUUAUAUUCUUUUUGUAUUACAGCACUAUUAUUAUUUGAAUUCUUUGAUCAAUUUAUAGAUCAAUUUAUAAUGUUGGCAGGAUUUGUAAUGCUUGGUUCAAUUGAGAUUGGUUCUAUUUCCUUUAAAUUUUGAUAGUAAGGAAGGGUUCUGAAAGCUUAAAGCAUAUUGACUUUCUGAAAGCGUCAGAAGUCAGUGUGUAUAUAACUGCACUAGAUAGUGAACUUGAAAAUGGGCAGUUUUUCAGUUUACUUCUGAAUAGGGUGUGCACUGUUCAGAUAUUUUUUUAUUUCAAUUUUGUUCAGUCAUAGUCAUACAUUCGCAUUUUAGUGAAUUAUUAAUUCUUAGUCAGUUGCAAGCUUACACUGCACGUGGACUUCAUGCAUACUUGAAAAAGAUUUCUUGAUUACCUAGUGAUGCACUUUUGGUCUGUAAAGAAAAUCAAGUUUUGUAGUUUUGAGUUUAAUUACUUUACAAUCUGAAUGCUAUUUCUGUCCUUGAUGAGUAUUUACGUUUUUUGUUAAAUUGUAUUUUAAUUGGUAAAAACCUAAAAAGUUCAUUUUAUAAAGAGAAAUAAUUUUAGUAUUCCUGUAAGUUGUUUGUAUUUUAACCACUUAUGAAUGUUUUAUGUUUAAAUUUUGUCAAAAUGUGAAGCUUAUUGAUGUGCAGAAUGGAGAAGUAAAUCAUCAGUACUGUAUCAUUGGUAAAAAGGAUUAACCCAUGAUUUAAUUUAGUAGUAUGACAAUGAAUAAUGUCAUUAUUAGUGGUAUAGAGAAGUGAAUUCACAACUUCACUGUUCUUGAUAAUGGGUAAAUCAACAAAGUAUUGGAAGAUUGGAAAAUUCACAAUUAUAUAACAAAGGGUAAAUAUAUGUGAAAGCCAUAAUUUAGUCCUAAAUUUCAAUAUCACACAUAUUGAGGAGUGAAUUCGUUUUUUUUUUUUGCACAGAUUGAUUGUCAGUGCAUAAAUUUUAUAGUUUCUCAGUCCUAACAUUGUCAGAAUGUCAAGGGCUCUUGUAGGCUCAAGAAAAUGACUAAUAAAGGCACAAGUUUGUAAUUACUAGCCUGCAGCUCCAGCAUUUGUCUUGCUGGUAACUGUAGUAAAAGCACAUAAUCAGGAGAGAAAGAGAGAGUACACUAAAUGAUGCAUGAAAUGUGAUAGAUUCAUGGUACACUGGAUGAUGUAUUGAUUUAUACAUUGUACACUUUUGUACAGUACUUCAUACUUAAGGGGGUUCUUUUGUCUUACAUUUAAUUAAAACAUUAUAAGUGCAUAUGUUCAUCACAAUGUCAAAUUCAGCAAAAAGUUAAAAUUUUCUUUUGUUCUCAACUGUAAUUCUUUUGCAAUGAAUUAUGUAUAGAA
Molecule: long non-coding RNA, 4360 nt
Organism: Macrobrachium nipponense
Lineage: Eukaryota; Metazoa; Arthropoda; Malacostraca; Decapoda; Palaemonidae
Exons: 2
Source: RefSeq, a predicted model, not a curated record